RNAcentral lists this ribosomal RNA (493 nucleotides) under uncultured bacterium. RNAcentral's name for it is "partial 16S ribosomal RNA". It matches the Rfam family "Bacterial small subunit ribosomal RNA", at positions 30 to 507 of the family's 1533-position model. The record is from RNAcentral.
AUUGAACGCUGGCGGCAUGCUUUACACAUGCAAGUCGAACGGCAACGAGGAGAAGCUUGCUUCUCUGUCGGCGAGUGGCGAACGGGUGAGUAUAGCAUCGGAACGUGCCAAGUAGUGGGGGAUAACCAAACGAAAGUUUGGCUAAUACCGCGUAAGCUCCAAGGCGGAAAGUAGGGGACCUAAAUAAGGCCUUACGCUAUUUGAUCGGCCGAUGUCGGAUUAGCUAGUUGGUGGGGUAAUGGCUCACCAAGGCAAUGAUCCGUAGCGGGUCUGAGAGGACGAUCCGCCACACUGGGACUGAGACACGGCCCAGACUCCUACGGGAGGCAGCAGUGGGGAAUUUUGGACAAUGGGGGAAACCCUGAUCCAGCCAUGCCGCGUGUAUGAAGAAGGCCUUAGGGUUGUAAAGUACUUUUGUUAGGGAAGAAAAGCUAGUUUUUAAUAAAAAUUAGUGAUGACGGUACCUAAAGAAUAAGCACCGGCUAACUACGUG